UGACUGUUACUGCUUCCUCCCAUGACAUCACUGUUUUUUGCAGCCACGCCACUCAGAAGGAUGCUCUCCAAAUCUGGGAGGCUAGUCUAAACGGUGUUGCACUGCAGGUGACAGUGACUCAGCUGUAUAUGAAGAAAGGGACUACAAAUAUGGUGAAUGCUGGGGAAAUGAACAGUUCUGGCAACCUGAUGGAUUUCUUGGAUGAGCCCUUUGCUGGUGUUGGGACAUAGGAGGACUUCCACACCAUCGACUGGCUCAGGGAGAAAUCCUGUGACACAGACAGACAGAGGAAGGCACUUUGGCGGAAGUUAUAGAUUUAGCUGUGGACUGGAUGACGGACCUGAAAGAAGGCGUCUGCUUCUCAGCCUUCUGGUACAGUCACGAGCAAUGCUGCUGGACAUCCAAUGAGACCACUUUUGACGACAGGGACAAAUGUCCCCAGUGGCAGAACUGGCCAGAGCUUUUGGUGAAUCAGUUGGAGGUCAGUUACUACUUCCCCUGAAGACCCUCUGGACGUCAUUUUCACCUUCCUGGUAGUCACCUUUACACUAAGAUCCAUCAAUCCCUUUGGGAACAGCCGCCUGGCCCUCUUCUUCGUGGAGUACCACACCCCCGAGCCAUCCGCGGGAAGACUGAAGGCUGGAGACCCGGUUCCAACCUCCCUGCAGCCUCCGUGCCAUGGACAACCACAAACGAGGGGCGGCGAUUCCAUCCAGAGACGGCAACACUCCCGCCGAACAGCUCUCUCUCACACUGCUUUCCAGACCCGGGCAGGUGAUGGGGCCUGUUCGCUUGAGCCCGCCGGCUCACUGCUGCUGCCCUCACUGCCACCCUGCUUCUAGCGUCUUCCUGCUUCAAACCAUUCUGGGGGCGGCGAUUCCAUCCAGAGACGGCGAUUCCAUCCAGAGACGGCAACACUCCCGCCGAACAGCUCUGUCUCACACUGCUUUCCAGACCCGGGCAGGUGAUGGGGCCUGUUGGCUUGAGCCCGCCGGCUCACUGCUGCUGCCUUCACUGCCACCCUGCCGCUAGCGUCUUCCUGCUUCAAACCAUUCUGGUUUCGCAGGACAUCCAGGCCAACUCAGUUUCAUACCUUCCUCCUCAAGUUCAGCAGGACCACAAAGGUAAAUCUUUUUUUUUUUUUUGAUGGCAUUUGUUAAGCGCUUACUAUGUG
Tachyglossus aculeatus (Australian echidna) is the source of this 1174-nucleotide long non-coding RNA. RefSeq lists it as uncharacterized. The record is from RefSeq and is a predicted model, not a curated record. The transcript has 9 exons. Lineage: Eukaryota; Metazoa; Chordata; Mammalia; Monotremata; Tachyglossidae.